AUGGCGAGCGGCGACACGCUGGACGACUUCGCCGGCAAGCUCGGGGCCAUGGUGGCGCGUUUUGCAGGGCUCGGAGAGACGCUCGAGGACGCAGCCCUGGUGAAAAAGCUGCUGGACUGCGUUCCCGAUCGCCUGUACGCAGCGGUGCCGGGGAUGGAGCAGUUCUGCGACCUGGAGACGCUGCUCUUCGACGACGCGCUCGGGCGCCUGAAGGCGUACGAUGAGCGGCUGCGUCGGCGUGGUCAGGCACGCGGCAAGCGGGCGGACGGUGAG
Molecule: ribosomal RNA, 273 nt
Filed under: Triticum aestivum (bread wheat)
Lineage: Eukaryota; Viridiplantae; Streptophyta; Magnoliopsida; Poales; Poaceae
Description: partial small subunit ribosomal RNA
Source: RNAcentral